RNAcentral lists this ribosomal RNA (255 nucleotides) under uncultured bacterium. RNAcentral's name for it is "partial 16S ribosomal RNA". It matches the Rfam family "Bacterial small subunit ribosomal RNA", at positions 524 to 777 of the family's 1533-position model. The record is from RNAcentral.
UACGGAGGGAGCUAGCGUUAUUCGGAAUUACUGGGCGUAAAGCGCACGUAGGCGGCUUUGUAAGUAAGAGGUGAAAGCCCAGAGCUCAACUCUGGAAUUGCCUUUAAGACUGCAUCGCUAGAAUUGUGGAGAGGUAAGUGGAAUUCCGAGUGGUAGAGGUGAAAUUCGUAGAUAUUCGGAAGAACACCAGUGGCGAAGGCGACUUACUGGACACAUAUUGACGCUGAGGUGCGAAAGCGUGGGGAGCAAACAGGG